Molecule: long non-coding RNA, 1103 nt
Organism: Sardina pilchardus (European sardine)
Lineage: Eukaryota; Metazoa; Chordata; Actinopteri; Clupeiformes; Clupeidae
Exons: 6
Source: RefSeq, a predicted model, not a curated record
UUAAUCUGGUAGAUGCAACAGGAUUGUUUUACAUUCCGUUUGCAAACAUGUUUUAAUUUAGUAGAUUUGAAGAGUUAAUUUUGAAUGUUGGAUGUAUUCAUUUUUCUCACGUUAAUUGGAAGUGAAAAUUUCACGUUCAGAUAUACUCCAGAGCAGCAGGUGGCUGUAAUGCCUAGUUAAAACAACCAGCGGUAGAAGAAGAAGCGUUUGAAUCGUGGUCACACUGGAUAUCGUUGGCCAAAAACUAAUCGCUGCUGGUGACUGUAUGUCAUGAAAACUGAGGCUCGAGUUAAUCUACUGAAAGGUCCAUGUUAUUGCACGCACUUCCAAUUGGUUAGGUGGUGGAAAUCUGGAGCUGUAAGGGAUGCAAAGAAACAGUAUCAAAUCAACGCAGAAUUCAAAAGAAUUACGACGGUCCCACUUCAAUCCAAGUUCCUGUCUCAGAUAGACCUUCACUCUGACAACCUGACAAAGCUGUUCCAAAAGAGAGGGGGACAAAUAGGGAAAGGUCUCCAGUCAUGUUCUCAAUGAUUGCUUGAUUGUGAUAUAGAUGCUGGCCGGGAGUGUCUCCUGAAGGGACUUUGUAUGUACAUGGGGGAAGAUCCUGAAAACCUUGUGCAGGAAUAUGUGGGCAUGGAUGAAGUUGAUGUCAGUGAAUCCAUUGAAGACGCUACUGUCGGGAUUUACGUUCGGAGAGAACAUGAAUCAAGUGAACCGGAGGACAUUUGUUUCUUUUUUUGAUGCGCAAAGGACUUCAACACAUCUCACUUUUUGGUCUCUUGUUCAUCUCUCACUCUCUCUUUUUGUCUGUCACACCAACACACACAUACUAACAAACACACGCACCUCACACCCAUCCACAUAACUCCAGUGACAAACUCCAGUGUAAUUUUUGCCACCAUGUUUGGCUCGCAGCAUAGACCACCAUUGUCUUCCUCUCUCUAUCCCCUUCUCUUCCUCUCUUUCUCUUCCCUUCUCACUCUCCCUCCCUCCCUCUCUCACUCCUCUCUCUUUCUGUGUAGGAUGUCUACUGUACUGUAAAGUGUUGGAUGAAAGCAUUGUGUACUCAUGUAGCGUUCAAUAAAAAAAUGAAAAGACUGAAA